GCAAGAGAGUAGGAAGUAGAUUUAUUGUAUUCAGCUUUAUAUCUUGAGUACAACAUACAACCUGGUUUAGAGAAAGGUCAUUUUUACUUACAUCUUACAUAUAAUAAUGAUAAGCAAAUAAAAUAUACCCUUUAUUCUCUAAUCAGGUUGCACAGUCAGGCUAGGAAUUUCAUAUUAAAGAAUGAACACAUACAGGAAGUUCCUAUAGUAAAAGUUUAAUGAACAACACAAAAUAAUGGAUUGAGUAAAUAUAAGGAACAUGUUUUAUUACACUAACCACAGUGUAAAGGUGCACAUGACGUUAUAUGAACAAAAAUAAUUUAAAUCUUAUGAAUAGUUAAAUAAAUAUUUAAAUAGAUAAAUCAGUUUAUCAGCAUGGUCAUAGUUAUAGCAGGGGUGAGAGUCUUUGAAAUGACAGAAUUCAUGAAAGCGUGACCUGGUGUAUGAGUCAAUAAGAAUUGUUUUCAUGUUGGACCAGAUGUUAUUCCUUCCUCCUUAAUCUUUCUUGCAAGUUUGUUGAUAAAGAGAGGGAUCUCAUGAUUUCUGCUCUGACAACCUCCCAGGCACAAGGGCUGUAUUUCUUCUCUGUCAGAUAGAGAGUGAUUCUUCGGAAGUAUUUCUUCACAGCCAAGAUGGAGUCCGCAUUCAUCAGGGGAGUUUCUCCCACCCUCUCCUCCUGCAUCACACAGGCUUCCAAGUCAUUCAGCUGCUGGUAGAGUUCGGUGCAGAAUUUGUCUAGGAGGUCCUCAUCCCAAGCAGCAGAUGAAUCUUUUGUGGUAAAGAGGUUGAAGAUCUGCUGGAUCAGCUCAUGGAGGACAGAGAUGGCUGGAGCCUUCUGGAACUGGUUGCCAUCAAACUCCUCCUGGGGAAAUCCAAAGUCAUGUCUGUCCAUCAGACAGGAGGAAGGAGAGAUUCUGCUCAUUUGUGCCAGGAGCAUCAAGGUCCUCCUGUUAUCCAGGCUGUGGGUCUCAGGGAGAUCACAGCCCAGAGAGCAGCUUGACUUGCAGCUGAGCACCACCAGGACCAUCAGUAAAGCAAAGGGCGAGGCCAUCGUAGAUAUUGCAGAUACUUCUGGGCUUGCUGAGAUGGGUGACUCUGAACCUUGGGCUCUAGGUUCU
RNAcentral lists this non-coding RNA (1118 nucleotides) under Homo sapiens (human). The record is from RNAcentral. Lineage: Eukaryota; Metazoa; Chordata; Mammalia; Primates; Hominidae.